Molecule: ribosomal RNA, 253 nt
Filed under: uncultured bacterium
Lineage: Bacteria
Description: partial 16S ribosomal RNA
Rfam family: Bacterial small subunit ribosomal RNA
Source: RNAcentral
UACAGAGGUCCCGAGCGUUGUUCGGAUUCACUGGGCGUAAAGGGUGCGUAGGUGGCCAUGAAAGUUCGAUGUGAAAUCUCCGGGCUUAACCCGGAAAAGGCAUUGAAAACUCUGUGGCUGGAGGUUUGGAGGGGGGACUGGAAUUCUCGGUGUAGCAGUGAAAUGCGUAGAUAUCGAGAGGAACACCAGUGGCGAAGGCGAGUCCCUGGACAACACCUGACACUGAGGCACGAAAGCCGGGGGAGCAAACAGG